GAUUAGGAUUUGGUUAGGGUUUGAUUUAGGGUUUGGAUUAGAGUUUGGACUAGGAUUUGGUUAGGAUUUGAUUUAAGAUUUGGUUUAGGGUUUAGGAUUUGGAUUAGAGUUUAGGAUGGGAUUAGGAUUUGGAUUAGGAUUUGGAUUAGGAUUUGGAUAAGGGUUUAGAAUUUGGUUAGGAUUUGAUUUAGAAUUUGGAUUAGAAUUUGGUUAGAAUUUGAUUUAAGAUUUGGUUUAGGGUUUAGGAUUGGAUUAGGAUUUGGUUUAGGGUUUGAUUUAGGGUUUGGUUUAGGGUUUAGGAUUUGGAAUAGGGUUUAUUUUAAGAUUUGUUUAGGAUUUGACUUAGGAUUUAGGAAUUAUUAGGGUUUAAGAUUUAAUUAGGUUUGGUCUAAAGUUGAGUGAAAUUCAAUAGGGUUUUAACUAGAAUUAAAUUAAGGUUGAAUUGACAUAUAUUUGAGUAAAAUUUGUGAUCAUUCUAAUAUUUCUUUAAGAAUUUUAUUGUUUGUUUGAAAUUUCUUUGAGUUGUUUUGAAUUUGAUUACGUUUGUUUAUUAUUAUUAUAGUCUAAUUAGAGCAUUGUUAGUAUUCUAUUUAGGAUUUUGUUAUCGCAAUUUCUAUUCUUCUUUCUACAGCUAGGUGCCCGGAGCAUUCUCAAGCAAGACUUCACACAUUACGACACCGCUAGUCGAGUUUGCAUAUAACAACACCCUCUAUGCGUCGACUCAAUACACACCAUUCUUUUCUAAUUAUGGGUAUCAUCCGAAGCUUGAUUUAUUGAGUC
RNAcentral lists this long non-coding RNA (780 nucleotides) under Physcomitrium patens. RNAcentral describes it as "long non-coding RNA (PPAT_LNC004036)". Lineage: Eukaryota; Viridiplantae; Streptophyta; Bryopsida; Funariales; Funariaceae. The record is from RNAcentral.